GAUGAAGAACGUAGCGAAAUGCGAUAAGUAGUGUGAAUUGCAGAAUUCAGUGAAUCAUCGAAUCUUUGAACGCACAUUGCGCCCUUUGGUAUUCCAAAGGGCAUGCCUGUUCGAGCGUCAUUUGUACCCUCAAGCUUGGCUUGGUGUUGGGCGUCUUGUCUCUAGCUUUGCUGGAGACUCGCCUUAAAGUAAUUGGCAGCCGGCCUACUGGUUUCGGAGCGCAGCACAAGUCGCACUCUCUAUCAGCAAAGGUCUAGCAUCCAUUAAGCCUUUUUUUCAACUUUUGAACUCGGAUCAGGUAGGGAUACCCGCUGAACUUAAGCAUAUCAAUAAGCGGAGGA
This 341-nucleotide unclassified non-coding RNA is filed under the name soil metagenome. RNAcentral's name for it is "partial contains 5.8S ribosomal RNA, internal transcribed spacer 2, and large subunit ribosomal RNA". The stretch from base 1 to 120 matches the Rfam family "5.8S ribosomal RNA", at positions 35 to 154 of the family's 154-position model. The record is from RNAcentral.